GACGAACGCUGGCGGCGUGCUUAACACAUGCAAGUCGAGCGGUAAGGCCCUUUCGGGGGUACACGAGCGGCGAACGGGUGAGUAACACGUGGGUGACCUGCCCUCAGCUCUGGGAUAAGCCUGGGAAACUGGGUCUAAUACUGGAUAUGACUCCACGGUGCAUGUCGUGGGGUGGAAAGCCUUGUGCGGCUGAGGAUGGGCCCGCGGCCUAUCAGCUUGUUGGUGGGGUGAUGGCCUACCAAGGCGACGACGGGUAGCCGGCCUGAGAGGGCGACCGGCCACACUGGGACUGAGACACGGCCCAGACUCCUACGGGAGGCAGCAGUGGGGAAUCUUGCGCAAUGGGCGAAAGCCUGACGCAGCGACGCCGCGUGAGGGAUGACGGUCUUCGGAUUGUAAACCACUGUCGGGAGGGACGAAUACGCCGCAAGGCGGGUGACGGUACCUCCAAAGGAAGCACCGGCUAACUCCGUGACAGCCGCCGCUGU
This 488-nucleotide ribosomal RNA is filed under the name uncultured bacterium. RNAcentral's name for it is "bacterial SSU rRNA". It matches the Rfam family "Bacterial small subunit ribosomal RNA", at positions 28 to 521 of the family's 1533-position model. The record is from RNAcentral.